AUAUGGUUGCCUACGUCACAAUGCAGGCAUAUUAUAAGUUCUCACCUCAGCCAGAGCAGUAGCCCAAUGCAGGUUUUUAGGAGUAGGUGAACAAUCUGUUUGCAGCAGUAGCAGCAACAAUGGCCCCAACCAUCCACAUGAAGAACGCCAGCAACAAAACCUAAACACAAUUAGAAACAGCAGCAAUAACAUUUAGCAAAACUAACCAGUCGACCCACCCAGCCGCAGCUCAAUCUGCGCUUGUUCCUCGUCGUUCAGCGCGGCAACAGCUACAAUAAACAUCGCUGGCUCCGACAGUAGAAUUUAAUUAAAAGCUUUUCCAUCUGCCCGGCUUGCUCACUGGACACUGAAAAUGCCCGCGGCAAAAACAGAAGCAAAAAAAAAAAUGUAAUAAUAAACGAAAAAUAUUAAAAAACAAGACGAAAACGGUAAA
This is a long non-coding RNA of Drosophila novamexicana, 433 nucleotides long. RefSeq lists it as uncharacterized. The transcript has 2 exons. Lineage: Eukaryota; Metazoa; Arthropoda; Insecta; Diptera; Drosophilidae. The record is from RefSeq and is a predicted model, not a curated record.